Molecule: unclassified non-coding RNA, 272 nt
Filed under: Hevea brasiliensis (rubber tree)
Lineage: Eukaryota; Viridiplantae; Streptophyta; Magnoliopsida; Malpighiales; Euphorbiaceae
Source: RNAcentral
GCACUAUUUUGCCAUUGCAUUCCUCUUAUUUAAAAAAAGUGUUUGGAGAUUUUAUACACAAUAAUCCGUAUGGAUUAUUACCGAAUAUUUGGACAAUUAAUAAUUUACCAUAACCUAAUUGAGAAAUUUCAUUUACAGUUAACAAAUUAUAAAUAAUUAUUUUAAGAUAAUUAUUCUUAACUAUGAUAAUUUAUAUUUUAAUUGUUUAAUCGUAAAUCUUAUAAUUAAUUCCCACCAGAGAGAGUGAGGCGAUUUUUUUUUUUUUUUUUUUU